UAAACAAAAUCUCUUUCCUUCUUACAUUUAAAAGUCUUCUAUCUUUAAAUUGUUCUCCUACAACAAGUAUCAAAAUUGUUUUAGAUGGCUAGGCUCAAAUUCCAGUUGUGGCAUUCUUCUUCUUCCUUCCUUCCUCCUUUUAAAAAGAAAAUCCUUAUUAACAUGUCUGGCUCUGCCACUUUCCAUAACUCACCAGACUCCGAAAAUGUCUCAAAGCAAAGUAGACAAAGAAAAUUAUAGAAAAUCCGUAUAACUAAUUUCUUGGAAAAAUCGAAAACCUUCAUAACUACUCAUAGGUCAAAAGAGAGACACGAGCUGCUAGAACUACCUAAUAUAUAUAAAUGGAGGAAAAUUAUUUGAAGAUGUUAGAUAAGCAUGUGCGUAAUUAAUUGAGAUAUUGUUUUACGCAUGAUGACUGCUUAUUAGGUUACAUAGUACGAUGAAUGCGCACCUACAUUUGAAUUGAAAGUGAUAACUAUAUGUAAUAUUUUCACAUUUUUCUUUGAUUUUUUGUGUCCCUCUCAAGACACCCUAACGUGUUUGGAUAACAAUGUAAUGCUCUGGUGCACUUUGUAUAAUGCCGUGGGUUUAUAAAAAGAUAAAGUCUGUGUACACAUUAUUUUCUUCA
RNAcentral lists this long non-coding RNA (628 nucleotides) under Nicotiana benthamiana. Its description in RNAcentral is "long non-coding RNA (NBEN_LNC002493)". The record is from RNAcentral. Lineage: Eukaryota; Viridiplantae; Streptophyta; Magnoliopsida; Solanales; Solanaceae.